GGAUUAGAUACCCUGGUAGUCCACGCCGUAAACGAUGUCUACUAGCAGCUCGGUUCGUUAAGAACGGUUUUGCGCAGCUAACGCGUUAAGUAGACCGCCUGGGGAGUACGGCCGCAAGGUUAAAACUCAAAUGAAUUGACGGGGGCCCGCACAAGCGGUGGAGCAUGUGGUUUAAUUCGAUGCAACGCGAAGAACCUUACCAUCCCUUGACAUCCAGAGAACUUUUCAGAGAUGAAUUGGUGCCUUCGGGAACUCUGAGACAGGUGCUGCAUGGCUGUCGUCAGCUCGUGCCG
This 293-nucleotide ribosomal RNA is filed under the name uncultured bacterium. Its description in RNAcentral is "partial 16S ribosomal RNA". It matches the Rfam family "Bacterial small subunit ribosomal RNA", at positions 775 to 1067 of the family's 1533-position model. The record is from RNAcentral.